UAAGAAGCUAGUAAGUAGAGUCUUCUCUCUAAAAUUGGAGCUUCAAACUUUUCUCUAACUUCUCUCUAGAAUCUCUCCUUCAAAACCUCUUCAAAUCACCAAUUUUCCUUCACCAAACUUGUUCUCCUCACUCACCUCUUCACAACCAUACCAUUUUCAUGGUGUGAAGCAAAUUAUUGUGGUUAAUAUCCUCAUGAACAGCCAUGGCUUUGAAGGUCCAAGGAGUUAUGGAGUUAUGUUCUUGAGUUCUCUUGAAGAGUAUCACUUGUGUUCUUGAUUCUCUUGAGUUUUGUGUGUGUUCUUGUUUAAAGGAUCAUCCUUGUUUGUAAAAAGUGAAGCUUGGAGCUAAAGGUGUGAGUUUUGAACCAAGAAAUGGUUGAUUGAUGUGUAAAGGUGUACCUAGAGAUCCUUGCACUUGAGGAUUGUAUUGGAGCAUACGUAUAAUAUUGGAGUUGGGCUUGAUAAGCUCAGUGAGGUACUCAGAGUAGCAGUGAUGCUUCUAGAGGCAAGGCCCCCGCCUUGGAGUAGUUGAUGAUGCUGCUAAUUAUUUAUAUUAUGACUAGACUCUGUGAUGACAUGUAUAAUCAUUAACAUGUCCAAUUAUCUUAUGUUGAGAUUAUGUUAUGUAUUUACU
Gastrolobium bilobum is the source of this 634-nucleotide long non-coding RNA. RefSeq lists it as uncharacterized. Lineage: Eukaryota; Viridiplantae; Streptophyta; Magnoliopsida; Fabales; Fabaceae. The transcript has 4 exons. The record is from RefSeq and is a predicted model, not a curated record.